This 2237-nucleotide ribosomal RNA is filed under the name Salmonella enterica subsp. enterica serovar Typhimurium. RNAcentral's name for it is "partial 23S ribosomal RNA". It matches the Rfam family "Bacterial large subunit ribosomal RNA", at positions 711 to 2839 of the family's 2925-position model. The record is from RNAcentral. Lineage: Bacteria; Pseudomonadati; Pseudomonadota; Gammaproteobacteria; Enterobacterales; Enterobacteriaceae.
AGACCCGAAACCCGGUGAUCUAGCCAUGGGCAGGUUGAAGGUUGGGUAACACUAACUGGAGGACCGAACCGACUAAUGUUGAAAAAUUAGCGGAUGACCUGUGGCUGGGGGUGAAAGGCCAAUCAAACCGGGAGAUAGCUGGUUCUCCCCGAAAGCUAUUUAGGUAGCGCCUCGUGAAUUCAUCUCCGGGGGUAGAGCACUGUUUCGGCUAGGGGGCCAUCCCGGCUUACCAACCCGAUGCAAACUGCGAAUACCGGAGAAUGUUAUCACGGGAGACACACGGCGGGUGCUAACGUCCGUCGUGAAGAGGGAAACAACCCAGACCGCCAGCUAAGGUCCCAAAGUCAUGGUUAAGUGGGAAACGAUGUGGGAAGGCCCAGACAGCCAGGAUGUUGGCUUAGAAGCAGCCAUCAUUUAAAGAAAGCGUAAUAGCUCACUGGUCGAGUCGGCCUGCGCGGAAGAUGUAACGGGGCUAAACCAUGCACCGAAGCUGCGGCAGCGAACGUAUCACCCAAGACAACUUUACGGAGUUGACGAUUGACGGAGCGAAGCGACGUCAAAGCGUUCAUUAAAGUCGAGUUGGCUUAGGGAUACGUUCGUUGGGUAGGGGAGCGUUCUGUAAGCCUGUGAAGGUGUGUCGUGAGGCAUGCUGGAGGUAUCAGAAGUGCGAAUGCUGACAUAAGUAACGAUAAAGCGGGUGAAAAGCCCGCUCGCCGGAAGACCAAGGGUUCCUGUCCAACGUUAAUCGGGGCAGGGUGAGUCGACCCCUAAGGCGAGGCCGAAAGGCGUAGUCGAUGGGAAACGGGUUAAUAUUCCCGUACUUGGUGUUACUGCGAAGGGGGGACGGAGAAGGCUAUGUUGGCCGGGCGACGGUUGUCCCGGUUUAAGCGUGUAGGUGUGUGUUCCAGGUAAAUCCGGUUCACUUUAACACUGAGGCGUGACGACGAGGCACUACGGUGCUGAAGCAACAAAUGCCCUGCUUCCAGGAAAAGCCUCUAAGCAUCAGGUAACACGAAAUCGUACCCCAAACCGACACAGGUGGUCAGGUAGAGAAUACCAAGGCGCUUGAGAGAACUCGGGUGAAGGAACUAGGCAAAAUGGUGCCGUAACUUCGGGAGAAGGCACGCUGACACGUAGGUGAAGUGAUUUACUCAUGGAGCUGAAGUCAGUCGAAGAUACCAGCUGGCUGCAACUGUUUAUUAAAAACACAGCACUGUGCAAACACGAGAGUGGACGUAUACGGUGUGACGCCUGCCCGGUGCCGGAAGGUUAAUUGAUGGGGUCAGCGUAAGCGAAGCUCCUGAUCGAAGCCCCGGUAAACGGCGGCCGUAACUAUAACGGUCCUAAGGUAGCGAAAUUCCUUGUCGGGUAAGUUCCGACCUGCACGAAUGGCGUAAUGAUGGCCAGGCUGUCUCCACCCGAGACUCAGUGAAAUUGAACUCGCUGUGAAGAUGCAGUGUACCCGCGGCAAGACGGAAAGACCCCGUGAACCUUUACUAUAGCUUGACACUGAACAUUGAGCCUUGAUGUGUAGGAUAGGUGGGAGGCUUUGAAGUGUGGACGCCAGUCUGCAUGGAGCCGACCUUGAAAUACCACCCUUUAAUGUUUGAUGUUCUAACGUGGACCCGUAAUCCGGGUUGCGGACAGUGUCUGGUGGGUAGUUUGACUGGGGCGGUCUCCUCCUAAAGAGUAACGGAGGAGCACGAAGGUUGGCUAAUCCUGGUCGGACAUCAGGAGGUUAGUGCAAUGGCAUAAGCCAGCUUGACUGCGAGCGUGACGGCGCGAGCAGGUGCGAAAGCAGGUCAUAGUGAUCCGGUGGUUCUGAAUGGAAGGGCCAUCGCUCAACGGAUAAAAGGUACUCCGGGGAUAACAGGCUGAUACCGCCCAAGAGUUCAUAUCGACGGCGGUGUUUGGCACCUCGAUGUCGGCUCAUCACAUCCUGGGGCUGAAGUAGGUCCCAAGGGUAUGGCUGUUCGCCAUUUAAAGUGGUACGCGAGCUGGGUUUAGAACGUCGUGAGACAGUUCGGUCCCUAUCUGCCGUGGGCGCUGGAGAACUGAGGGGGGCUGCUCCUAGUACGAGAGGACCGGAGUGGACGCAUCACUGGUGUUCGGGUUGUCAUGCCAAUGGCACUGCCCGGUAGCUAAAUGCGGAAGAGAUAAGUGCUGAAAGCAUCUAAGCACGAAACUUGCCCCGAGAUGAGUUCUCCCUGAGACUUAGAGUCUCCUGAAGGAACGUU